AUUAAUAAGCGGAGGAAAAGAAACUAACAAGGAUUCCCUCAGUAACGGCGAGUGAAGCGGGAAGAGCCCAGCACCGAAUCCUCCGCCUUGACGGGCGGCGGGAACUGUGGUGUUAAGGACAGCUCAUGGGGAUCGUUCGGGAACCCGAGUCCUCCUGAUCGGGGCUUCACCCAGAGCGGGUGUCAGGCCUCUACGGCUCCCGGCCGGUCCUCUCGAGUCGUCCUAGGAGUCGGGUUGUUUGAGAUUGCAGCCCAAAGUGGGUGGUAAACUCCAUCUAAGGCUAAAUACAGACACGAGUCCGAUAGCGCACAAGUACCGUGAGGGAAAGUU
RNAcentral lists this ribosomal RNA (330 nucleotides) under Enchytraeus doerjesi. RNAcentral describes it as "partial 28S ribosomal RNA". It matches the Rfam family "Eukaryotic large subunit ribosomal RNA", at positions 42 to 365 of the family's 3401-position model. The record is from RNAcentral. Lineage: Eukaryota; Metazoa; Annelida; Clitellata; Enchytraeida; Enchytraeidae.